UCCCUGAUGGCUGAGUGGUAAAGAAUCUGCUUGUAAUGCAGGAGACACAGGUUCGAUUCCUGGGUUGGGAA
Molecule: transfer RNA, 71 nt
Filed under: Ovis aries (sheep)
Lineage: Eukaryota; Metazoa; Chordata; Mammalia; Artiodactyla; Bovidae
Rfam family: tRNA
About the family: Transfer RNA (tRNA) molecules are approximately 80 nucleotides in length. Their secondary structure includes four short double-helical elements and three loops (D, anti-codon, and T loops).
Source: Rfam by way of RNAcentral